Molecule: ribosomal RNA, 497 nt
Filed under: uncultured bacterium
Lineage: Bacteria
Description: partial 16S ribosomal RNA
Rfam family: Bacterial small subunit ribosomal RNA
Source: RNAcentral
GAUGAACGCUGGCGGCGUGCCUAAUACAUGCAAGUCGAGCGAACAGACGAGGAGCUUGCUCCUCUGACGUUAGCGGCGGACGGGUGAGUAACACGUGGAUAACCUACCUAUAAGACUGGGAUAACUUCGGGAAACCGGAGCUAAUACCGGAUAAUAUAUUGAACCGCAUGGUUCAAUAGUGAAAGACGGUUUUGCUGUCACUUAUAGAUGGAUCCGCGCCGCAUAAGCUAGUUGGUAAGGUAACGGCUUACCAAGGCGACGAUGCGUAGCCGACCUGAGAGGGUGAUCGGCCACACUGGAACUGAGACACGGUCCAGACUCCUACGGGAGGCAGCAGUAGGGAAUCUUCCGCAAUGGGCGAAAGCCUGACGGAGCAACGCCGCGUGAGUGAUGAGGGUCUUCGGAUCGUAAAACUCUGUUAUUAGGGAAGAACAAAUGUGUAAGUAACUAUGCACGUCUUGACGGUACCUAAUCAGAAAGCCACGGCUAACUACGUG